UACGAAGGGGGCUAGCGUUGUUCGGAAUUACUGGGCGUAAAGCGCGCGCAGGCGGUCUUCCAAGUCAGUGGUGAAAGCCCGGAGCUCAACUCCGGAACUGCCAUUGAAACUGUAAGACUUGAGGAUGAGAGAGGUGAGUGGAAUUCCCAGUGUAGAGGUGAAAUUCGUAGAUAUUGGGAAGAACACCGGUGGCGAAGGCGGCUCACUGGCUCGUAUCUGACGCUCAGGCGCGACAGCGUGGGGAUCAAACAGG
Molecule: ribosomal RNA, 253 nt
Filed under: uncultured bacterium
Lineage: Bacteria
Description: partial 16S ribosomal RNA
Rfam family: Bacterial small subunit ribosomal RNA
Source: RNAcentral